ACGAUAAUAGGUUAAGGGUAGACCCUGGCACUUCCACUGCCAUAGUGCGUGUUCGAAUCACGUUUAUCGUA
Molecule: transfer RNA, 71 nt
Filed under: Insectozyma chauliodis
Lineage: Eukaryota; Fungi; Ascomycota; Pichiomycetes; Serinales; Debaryomycetaceae
Also listed under: 2 other names
Description: Candida chauliodis tRNA-Gly
Rfam family: tRNA
About the family: Transfer RNA (tRNA) molecules are approximately 80 nucleotides in length. Their secondary structure includes four short double-helical elements and three loops (D, anti-codon, and T loops).
Source: RNAcentral